Molecule: ribosomal RNA, 429 nt
Filed under: Gemmatimonadota bacterium
Lineage: Bacteria; Pseudomonadati; Gemmatimonadota
Description: Gemmatimonadetes bacterium partial 16S ribosomal RNA
Rfam family: Bacterial small subunit ribosomal RNA
Source: RNAcentral
UAGGGAAUCUUCGGCAAUGGACGAAAGUCUGACUGAGCAACGCCGCGUGAGUGAAGAAGGUUUUCGGAUCGUAAAACUCUGUUGUUAGAGAAGAACAAGGACGUUAGUAACUGAACGUCCCCUGACGGUAUCUAACCAGAAAGCCACGGCUAACUACGUGCCAGCAGCCGCGGUAAUACGUAGGUGGCAAGCGUUGUCCGGAUUUAUUGGGCGUAAAGCGAGCGCAGGCGGUUUCUUAAGUCUGAUGUGAAAGCCCCCGGCUCAACCGGGGAGGGUCAUUGGAAACUGGGAGCAUUGAGUGCAGAAGAGGAGAGUGGAAUUCCAUGUGUAGCGGUGAAAUGCGUAGAUAUAUGGAGGAACACCAGUGGCGAAGGCGGCUCUCUGGUCUGUAACUGACGCUGAGGCUCGAAAGCGUGGGGAGCAAACAGG